CUAGAGCAAGAAGUGAGAUAAAUAGACAAAAUUAGAAAACUGCAGUUCUCUUUCAGAACAGACUAGUAAAUAUUUAACUAUAACUUAAAAGAUAAAAGGAAGGAAAGCAUCAAAAGUAA
Molecule: non-coding RNA, 119 nt
Organism: Ceratotherium simum simum (southern white rhinoceros)
Lineage: Eukaryota; Metazoa; Chordata; Mammalia; Perissodactyla; Rhinocerotidae
Source: RefSeq, a predicted model, not a curated record